Molecule: non-coding RNA, 97 nt
Organism: Mycena vitilis
Lineage: Eukaryota; Fungi; Basidiomycota; Agaricomycetes; Agaricales; Mycenaceae
Source: the annotation of a GenBank genome assembly
GACCCAUUAGCACAGUUGGUUAGUGCGCCCGCGGAACGUGUUUUUCCGCCACCGGUCUCUUCUGCGGGAGACCCUCGUUCGAACCGAGGUUGGGUCA